GGAUAAUAAAUAGUCCUUUAAUUGGGGACUGGAAUGAAGGGUUAAAACUAAGAAGAGUGUUUUAUUUAAUAAAUUUGAACUUAAAUUAAAAGUAAAAAUGCUUUUAUGAAGUUUUGGGACGAGAAGACCCUAGAAGCUUAAAAUUGAAGAUUUUUUGUUGGGGUAACAUUUGAAGAUGUAAAUUUUUAAAGUUUUAUAAGGGGUUAUGUAAAGUUACUCUAGGGAUAACAGCAUUAUUUAAUUAACAAGUUCUUAUUAAUAAUUAAGUUUGUGACCUCGAUGUUGAAUUAAUU
Molecule: ribosomal RNA, 293 nt
Filed under: Mischonyx anomalus
Lineage: Eukaryota; Metazoa; Arthropoda; Arachnida; Opiliones; Gonyleptidae
Description: partial large subunit ribosomal RNA
Source: RNAcentral